Stegodyphus mimosarum is the source of this 73-nucleotide non-coding RNA. The record is from Rfam. Lineage: Eukaryota; Metazoa; Arthropoda; Arachnida; Araneae; Eresidae.
GCCUUCGUGGUGUAGUGGUUAGCACGCUGGGCACGUAUUCCACAGGUCCGUGGUUCGAGUCCCGGCGAAGGCG